CUAAUACAUGCAAGUCGAGCGAACAGAUAAGGAGCUUGCUCCUUUGACGUUAGCGGCGGACGGGUGAGUAACACGUGGGUAACCUACCUAUAAGACUGGAAUAACUCCGGGAAACCGGGGCUAAUGCCGGAUAACAUAUAGAACCGCAUGGUUCUAUAGUGAAAGAUGGUUUUGCUAUCACUUAUAGAUGGACCCGCGCCGUAUUAGCUAGUUGGUAAGGUAAUGGCUUACCAAGGCGACGAUACGUAGCCGACCUGAGAGGGUGAUCGGCCACACUGGAACUGAGACACGGUCCAGACUCCUACGGGAGGCAGCAGUAGGGAAUCUUCCGCAAUGGGCGAAAGCCUGACGGAGCAACGCCGCGUGAGUGAUGAAGGGUUUCGGCUCGUAAAACUCUGUUAUUAGGGAAGAACAUAUGUGUAAGUAACUGUGCACAUCUUGACGGUACCUAAUCAGAAAGCCACGGCUAACUACGUGCCAGCAGCCGCGGUAAUACGUAGGUGGCAAGCGUUAUCCGGAAUUAUUGGGCGUAAAGCGCGCGUAGGCGGUUUCUUAAGUCUGAUGUGAAAGCCCACGGCUCAACCGUGGAGGGUCAUUGGAAACUGGGAAACUUGAGUGCAGAAGAGGAAAGUGGAAUUCCAUGUGUAGCGGUGAAAUGCGCAGAGAUAUGGAGGAACACCAGUGGCGAAGGCGACUUUCUGGUCUGUAACUGACGCUGAUGUGCGAAAGCGUGGGGAUCAAACAGGAUUAGAUACCCUGGUAGUCCACGCCGUAAACGAUGAGUGCUAAGUGUUAGGGGGUUUCCGCCCCUUAGUGCUGCAGCUAACGCAUUAAGCACUCCGCCUGGGGAGUACGACCGCAAGGUUGAAACUCAAAGGAAUUGACGGGGACCCGCACAAGCGGUGGAGCAUGUGGUUUAAUUCGAAGCAACGCGAAGAACCUUACCAAAUCUUGACAUCCUUUGACCACUCUAGAGAUAGAGCUUUCCCCUUCGGGGGACAAAGUGACAGGUGGUGCAUGGUUGUCGUCAGCUCGUGUCGUGAGAUGUUGGGUUAAGUCCCGCAACGAGCGCAACCCUUAAGCUUAGUUGCCAUCAUUAAGUUGGGCACUCUAGGUUGACUGCCGGUGACAAACCGGAGGAAGGUGGGGAUGACGUCAAAUCAUCAUGCCCCUUAUGAUUUGGGCUACCACGUGCUACAUGGACAAACAAAGGGCAGCUAAACCGCGAGGUCAUGCAAAUCCCAUAAAGUUGUUCUCAGUUCGGAUUGUAGUCUGCAACUCGACUACAUGAAGCUGGAAUCGCUAGUAAUCGUAGAUCAGCAUGCUACGGUGAAUACGUUCCCGGGUCUUGUACACACCGCCCGUCACACCACGAGAGUUUGUAACACCCGAAGCCGGUGGAGUAACCAUUUAUGGAGCUAGCCUUCGAAGG
RNAcentral lists this ribosomal RNA (1432 nucleotides) under Staphylococcus gallinarum. RNAcentral's name for it is "bacterial SSU rRNA". It matches the Rfam family "Bacterial small subunit ribosomal RNA". The record is from RNAcentral. Lineage: Bacteria; Bacillati; Bacillota; Bacilli; Caryophanales; Staphylococcaceae.